GAUGAAGAACGUAGCGAAAUGCGAUAAGUAAUGUGAAUUGCAGAAUUCAGUGAAUCAUCGAAUCUUUGAACGCACAUUGCGCCCCCUGGUAUUCCGGGGGGCAUGCCUGUUCGAGCGUCAUUUCACCACUCAAGCCUCGCUUGGUAUUGGGCAACGCGGUCCGCCGCGUGCCUCAAAUCGACCGGCUGGGUCUUCUGUCCCCUAAGCGUUGUGGAAACUUUCGCUAAAGGGUGUUCGGGAGGCUACGCCGUAAAACAACCCCAUUUCUAAGGUUGACCUCGGAUCAGGUAGGGAUACCCGCUGAACUUAAGCAUAUCAAUAAGCGGAAGA
RNAcentral lists this unclassified non-coding RNA (330 nucleotides) under soil metagenome. RNAcentral describes it as "partial contains 5.8S ribosomal RNA, internal transcribed spacer 2, and large subunit ribosomal RNA". The stretch from base 1 to 120 matches the Rfam family "5.8S ribosomal RNA", at positions 35 to 154 of the family's 154-position model. The record is from RNAcentral.